This 440-nucleotide ribosomal RNA is filed under the name uncultured bacterium. RNAcentral describes it as "bacterial SSU rRNA". It matches the Rfam family "Bacterial small subunit ribosomal RNA", at positions 338 to 770 of the family's 1533-position model. The record is from RNAcentral.
CCUACGGGAGGCAGCAGUGGGGAAUUUUGGACAAUGGGCGCAAGCCUGAUCCAGCCAUGCCGCGUGCGGGAAGAAGGCCUUCGGGUUGUAAACCGCUUUUGUCAGGGAAGAAAAGACUCCUGCUAAUACCGGGGGUUCAUGACGGUACCUGAAGAAUAAGCACCGGCUAACUACGUGCCAGCAGCCGCGGUAAUACGUAGGGUGCAAGCGUUAAUCGGAAUUACUGGGCGUAAAGCGUGCGCAGGCGGUUAUGCAAGACAGAUGUGAAAUCCCCGGGCUCAACCUGGGAACUGCAUUUGUGACUGCAUGGCUAGAGUACGGCAGAGGGGGAUGGAAUUCCGCGUGUAGCAGUGAAAUGCGUAGAUAUGCGGAGGAACACCGAUGGCGAAGGCAAUCCCCUGGGCCUGUACUGACGCUCAUGCACGAAAGCGUGGGGAGCA